Molecule: ribosomal RNA, 491 nt
Filed under: uncultured bacterium
Lineage: Bacteria
Description: partial 16S ribosomal RNA
Rfam family: Bacterial small subunit ribosomal RNA
Source: RNAcentral
AGUGAACGCUGGCGGUAGGCCUAACACAUGCAAGUCGAACGGCAGCACAGUAAGAGCUUGCUCUUACGGGUGGCGAGUGGCGGACGGGUGAGGAAUACAUCGGAAUCUACUUUUUCGUGGGGGAUAACGUAGGGAAACUUACGCUAAUACCGCAUACGACCUACGGGUGAAAGCAGGGGAUCUUCGGACCUUGCGCGAUUGAAUGAGCCGAUGUCGGAUCAGCUAGUUGGCGGGGUAAAGGCCCACCAAGGCGACGAUCCGUAGCUGGUCUGAGAGGAUGAUCAGCCACACUGGAACUGAGACACGGUCCAGACUCCUACGGGAGGCAGCAGUGGGGAAUAUUGGACAAUGGGCGCAAGCCUGAUCCAGCCAUACCGCGUGGGUGAAGAAGGCCUUCGGGUUGUAAAGCCCUUUUGUUGGGAAAGAAAAGCAGCAGGUUAAUACCCCGCUGUUCUGACGGUACCCAAAGAAUAAGCACCGGCUAACUUCGU